RNA transcript from Triticum aestivum (bread wheat), 1976 nucleotides. RefSeq lists it as uncharacterized. Lineage: Eukaryota; Viridiplantae; Streptophyta; Magnoliopsida; Poales; Poaceae. The transcript has 3 exons. The record is from RefSeq and is a predicted model, not a curated record.
UCAUUUCGCUAGGUCGCACGUCUCCCCCACCCCCUCGCGUGGCGGCUCUUCCCCGAUCUAACCUCUGUCGCGCUCAUCCCCAUUCUUGUACGCCGGUGGGAUCCUGCUUCCCAUCGCGCAAGGGCCUCGGUACGGCAGCCUCCCACAACCUGGCUUAGAUUUCGGACGGCACCACAACUUCGGUUGGGGGCCUCAAGCAUCGGUGGCGACGCCAGAGGGCGGUGACGAUGGCAGCGAAUCAUCGCUUGUCGGUUGGACUCCACUUGCCGGUGAUUGAGGAAAUAGAUCACCAUGCCACUCUUCAGCGGCUACUACUUGCAGGUGAUCUAGGUUGACUGACUCGAGCUCCUGUGUGCUUCCAAGCUGGGAUUAGCAGUUCCAGUAUAAUUUUUGCCUUUGGAUUGUAACUAAACUCCUUUUGGACGAGCAUCCUUUUCCAUUGACUAAUAAUAGCCAGAUUUGUUUGAUCUGUUUGCAUUUUUCGGUAUACUUUACAUAUAGAGGUUCUCGGUGUACGUAUAGGACCAAUAAUAGUUGUAGAAAUUCUGUAGCCGUCUGGUAUUGCAAGAUAAUGGAUUCAGGAGAGCCAAUUAUAACUGGGAUAAUGAAAAUAGGCAGAAGGCAUUGCUAAUAUUGACAUGAAGAAACACAUUAUUCUGAUAUGUCCAUGAUACUUUAGUGCUCACUUUAUUUUACCGAUGUUCCAAUUUUAGUAGUAUGCAGUAAUAUCAUAUAACUCUAGACCAAAUUUGAGUUUACCACACCCAUGCUCUGAAAGUUCAGGUUAUAACUCUAGACCAAAUUUGAGUUUACCACACCCAUGCUCUGAAAGUUCAGGUUGCCAUGACAUGACCUGUGCUUUGCAGGAUAAAUCAGAGAACAUCUUUGAUGGUCCUUUGAUAGAAUAUAAGGAGAACAACAUAAUACGUAAGGCAUGUACUACAUGGAUCUUGAUCCGGAAUUCAGCAAAACAACUCUAUUGAGUACCUGCAAUAAAAUAGUAAAUUGUUGUUCAUGAUCCUACAGUUUCUGAAGUCAAAAGUAGCAGUGUUUACAUCUAAUUGUAUCCUGCAAAGCUAAUAAAGUCCUUCAUAAUCUCGUGUGGGUGUGGUCUCUAUUAGUCACUAUGUAUUCGCUGAGAUUCUUUCAUUUUGUUGAAUAUGUGCAUCUGCUUUUGUCCGUGCCAUGUUCGGCGGCGCUGGAUCAUCUAUGUUGAGGAUGGCUUCACCGACUUGUGCACCGUCCAAGGUCUGUUUCCCUUUCCUAGGGUUUAACAAAAUAGCAUGAGUUAUUGGUCAAGAGGAGGCCCACAUGCAGCAAGGUAUGUCAAUGCAAAAUCAAUGCAGGGUUUGUUCAGGACAUUACAGUUCGAAGGACAUGCAAAUGUUUGAUUCUCCCUGUGCAGUGUCAAUCAACUGUUGAUUGCAGGAGCAAGGUGUACGAAAAAUUUGUUGGAACCAAGAUACUCAUCUUGAGUGUAGUGUUUUAUUGCAUGAACAUAACAAUUUACUGUUUUAUUGCAGGUACUCAAUAGAGUUCUUUUGCUGCAUUCAGAAUCAAGAUCUAUGUAGUACAUGCCUUACAUAUUGUAUGUUGUUGUUAUACUCUAUCAAAGGAGCAUCUAAGCUGUUCUCUGAUUUAUGAAUUUUCUCUACAGGGGUAAUGGCUACUUCCCCUUUCUUCCUUUGCCAUCUUCCCAGCAGCCAUGGUUCUCAUACCACUGCUCAUUGCGAGGUUCCCAGUCUGCCUUCCCUCCCCACUCUCACAGGAACGCUGACUGGCAGCGCACAUGCCUUUUCCCGACAGUGCCAUGGCACCUCUCUACAGAAAAUAGACAAGAUGGGGACAACAAGUUUUCUUUCUCCCAAUUCUGGCACCCCCAUCACUUCCUUAAUUUUUCAUUACAAUUUUAAUAUCAAUAUUUUUCCUUAAGAAAGUUUGCUAACCAUGGCUUCAUUGCUAAUCAGUUUAUGGUU